GGCCUCCUCCCUCUAUGACAUCAGCCCACUUCAUUUUCUUUAGUACACUUCCUCUAAAAUGGUCUUGUUUUGCUAGUUUGUUUACCUGUUUACUAUCUGUCUCCCUACUAGAACAUAAGGUUCUCAAGGGCAGCCACUGCUGCCUUGUUCACAGCUGUCCUCUCAGGGCCACCAACGGGCACCUGGCAUACACAAGGUGCUUAAUAAGUGUUGGAUGAAUGAGCGAACUCUGUUAUUCCAGGACUUCACUACAGGAAGCCGUAAAGUUUGGGAGGGGGCUGUGGACAGAGGUGGCCUGUUUCUGGCGUGGGCUCCUCUAUGUGGCCCCGUCCCCCAAAGGUUGGACCUGCCACGUGGAACCCAGGAAGUCCCAGCGAUUGGGGCAGAACACCAAAAAGCCGAGCCCCAUCUGACGGGGAGAAGAAACCCCUGCAUGCACGUCGUGUCCUGUUGGAACUCCAGCACAGGUGAGCGACGGCAGACCUCAACCACUGUGGAGUGACCGGCACGCCUCGGCCCGGCUCCUGGCCGCCAGGGGCCUGUGGGCACACCGACAACACACCUGCAGGUCUGGCUGCCCUGGCGGCCCCCCCACCCCCUCCUUCUUCAAACAACAGGAGCCAAGUCUUCCUCUUGGGGACGGGCCCUCCCCCACUCUCAGGUCACAUGCCCAAGUGGGCUGACCCUACCUUCUUAGGGGGCUGGGCAGCUGAGGACACUAACUCAGCCCAGGCCAGUGGGAGGGUUUUACCUCCCCGGGUACAGCGGCUACAAGGCUAAAAGUGCUGCACCCAUUUUGCCUGCCUCGGAAUGAACGAAGAGACCGAGAUCUGGGGCUGGGCCUCUUCAUGAUCUGAGCAGAUAUGCUCUUUCCUUCUUCAGCCACCUGGAAGGGAGUCUGGGCCGGCUGCACCCCUCCUAGCUCAUCCUGCGCUGUCUUCCAUUGCUGCCCCCCUACUCCUGGAACCCCCGCCCGCACUCUCUCAUUUUACUUUCCAUGCCUGGAACAGCUUUCUCCACUUCGUACACCUCGUCAGCUCCUACUUGUCCGGGCUCAGAACCAGGCCCAGAGGCCGGAAGCGCUGAGAAGGCAGAUGCCACCUCCGCCUUAAGGACGGUCCCCCACGGGAACGCUGAAGGGGGCAUGUGAACACAGUGACAGACAGAUGCGCACAGAGAGAAGAUGGCCACAUGACCACGGAGCCAGAGGUCGGAGCGAUCCAGCUACAAGAAUGCCAAGGGCUUCGGGUACUACAAGAAGCUAAAAGAAGCAAAGAGGGAUUGUCUUUCGAGCCACCCAGUUUGUGGGGCUUUGUCAUGACAGCCCCAGGAAACGAAUACAGCCACUAACUCAUCAUUCAGUGUGCACCCAGUCUCCAGAGUGGCCGGAGAGGCCACGGCAUUCCCUGACCCAGUGGCCACAGGCCUCUUUUCUGAAAGAGAGUCUCUUACUGGAUAAGCACGUUAUCGGGCGCUAGUUCAGAGUCUCAGCCUUUCCCUUUUGUGCCCACAUGGGGCCCCUUCCAUGGGGGAGAUUCCUGGUUUCCUCAGCCGUAACCUGGGAGGAACUCCCAGCGACAUAGACGGAGAGCACUUAGCCGGGCACUCCAUCACACGGGGGAUGUUCUCCCUCUGAGCCUCGCUUUACCCCACUGAGACAUGGGUGCAGCAUCCCGCAAGGCUUCCUAGGGCUGCUGGGAACUGCCUGGCACAUGACCAGUGGUCCUAACGGUUGGUCCCCUGCACACGGGGCUUCUGCACGUCCCCGCUGGAGGGCGUGUGCCCCCUCCCGGGGCGGCCCUUACCUGUGCUGUGAGCUGGAUGGGCUGGGACAGGGUGAGCUGUGGGGUCCCGGGGGGCUGGCUGGCAGGCUGUGGUGGCGGCAGGUCGCCUCCCCCAGAGGAGGCAGGGGGCUGCGAGGUCGAGGAGG
Suricata suricatta (meerkat) is the source of this 1930-nucleotide long non-coding RNA. RefSeq lists it as uncharacterized. The transcript has 3 exons. The record is from RefSeq and is a predicted model, not a curated record. NCBI's taxonomy places the organism in Eukaryota, Metazoa, Chordata, Mammalia, Carnivora, Herpestidae.